RNAcentral lists this ribosomal RNA (407 nucleotides) under uncultured bacterium. RNAcentral describes it as "bacterial SSU rRNA". It matches the Rfam family "Bacterial small subunit ribosomal RNA", at positions 28 to 415 of the family's 1533-position model. The record is from RNAcentral.
GACGAACGCUGGCGGCGUGCCUAAUACAUGCAAGUCGAACGGUCUUUUCUAUGAAAGCUUGCUUUCACUGAGAAGAUAGUGGCGGACGGGUGAGUAACACGUGGGUAACCUGCCCAUAAGAGGGGGAUAACAUCCGGAAACGGGUGCUAAUACCGCAUAGUUUUCUUGGUCACAUGACUGAGAAAGGAAAGACGGCCUUUGUGCUGUCGCUUAUGGAUGGACCCGCGGCGUAUUAGUUAGUUGGUGAGGUAAUGGCUCACCAAGACGAUGAUACGUAGCCGACCUGAGAGGGUGAUCGGCCACAUUGGGACUGAGACACGGCCCAAACUCCUACGGGAGGCAGCAGUAGGGAAUCUUCCGCAAUGGACGAAAGUCUGACGGAGCAACGCCGCGUGAGUGAAGAAGGU